Molecule: ribosomal RNA, 505 nt
Filed under: Orthetrum melania
Lineage: Eukaryota; Metazoa; Arthropoda; Insecta; Odonata; Libellulidae
Description: partial 16S rRNA
Rfam family: Bacterial large subunit ribosomal RNA
Source: RNAcentral
GGCCUUUUGAAUUUAAUAUAAGGUCUGACCUGCCCAGUGAUAGUUUUAACGGCCGCGGUAUACUGACCGUGCAAAGGUAGCAUAAUCAUUAGUCUUUUAAUAGAGGGCUGGAAUGAAAGGUUUCACGAGGAACUGACUGUCUCAUUUUAUUUGUUUUAAAAUUUAAUUUUUUAGUUAAAAAGCUAAAAUUUUAUUGGUAGACGAGAAGACCCUAUAGAGCUUUACAUAUAAUUAAAUAAAUAUUUUUAUAUUAAUAUUUUUAUUUAUUUUUGUGUUUUGUUGGGGUGACAAAAAUAUAUAACUAACUUUUUUAUUUACUUUACAUUGAUUUAUGAAUAUUAGAUCCAAUACUAUUGAUUAUUAGACUAAGUUACCUUAGGGAUAACAGCGUAAUCCUCCUCCAGAGUUCAUAUUUACAGGAUGGGCUUGCGACCUCGAUGUUGGAUUAAGAUAAUAAUUAGGUGUAGCCGCUUAAUUGAUAGGUCUGUUCGACCUUUAAAUUCUU